Molecule: long non-coding RNA, 5637 nt
Organism: Phasianus colchicus (ring-necked pheasant)
Lineage: Eukaryota; Metazoa; Chordata; Aves; Galliformes; Phasianidae
Source: RefSeq, a predicted model, not a curated record
GGAACUGGAUGAGCACUGUGGGCCUUUUCAACCCAGGCCAUUCUGUGAUUCGAUGAUUCUAUGAUCAUUUCCCUUCCAGUGGCCACAGAUACCCUGGGCAACACAGUCGACCCCUGAAGCUGGGUCUGACUUCGAAGUGGGCCCUGCUCUGCACACAACAUCGGGCAGUGGCCUCCAGAGCUGCUUCUAAACCAAAAGGUUCCUUGCCUGAAAUGCUAUUUCUUGCAGGUGAAAGAUUGCCACUGUUUCGCACUGCAGCCGCUCACUGAUGUGGAUCUACUGUGUCAGUCACUCCACCACUGUAAAUACAGAACGGCUUUAUUCAAGUCCCUGAGGCUUAAUCAGCCUGCUUUUAAAACAGCUUGGUAAGAGAAAUUGCCCUUAGCUAACAAAUUGAUUGUAGAGGUGUAUUUUUUCAAGAAGAUCAUUCUCCUUGUUUAAUCCUUCUUUUUUUUUUUUUUUUGUAAGUCAUCACCAAGGGGCCAAACUUAACUUAAAAGUGGGUUAACAUAUUAUAAGCAAGGUCAUUUUUCUUUGUUCCUGCAACCGCUCUGAUUAUAUGGUGAGAGGAGACAUAAGCUUGACCUGGUGGACAUUGCUGUGAACUUGCACUUUGGACUUCCCGGGAGUCCUUGAACAGGCCACUCACCCUGUGCUGUACUUCAGUCUCCUGUCUGCAAAAUGCAGCUAAAGCUUCCCUGCUGGGCAGGGGCACUGUGAGUAAAGCCCUGUAAGGAUUGCAAGAUGCUUAAAAACAGCACCAGUGAUGGCCACAUAAGUGCCAAGAACAGAUAUGUAUCUACAUAUCCAGACAGCUGCAGACUUAUUGUGACUCAAUCAAGUUUAAACAUCUUAAGAUAAAAGCUGCUAUUUCAAGCUUCUUAGGCUCAAGGAAAUCCAUAAUAAAAACAAACCAUCAACAUAGAAAUAACUGGGCUUAUUCACACUCAGAAGAAGUGGGAGAUUUCACUUGUCAAGGUCACUUUUGAGACCUUGACAGACUGAGAAGAAAAUAAAAAAUCCAAUGCAUGAAAACCAUGACAGAAAAAGAUGCAAGAUUAAAGCUUCUUUCCUCACCACUUAUUCAAAUGGGGAAAAAAAUCCAGCCCUUUACCUCCAGUCAAAUACUCUUGCACACUGAAACAGGGAGAAUAAGUUUACGUACAGCAAGUUCAAAUCUAGCUUUCCUGAGAUACUUUGAGGAGUUUCUUCAGAGGAAACUCAGUUAAACUUGACUGCACUCUUGCUACAUAUUGUUGGAGUGUCAGAAGAUAAAUGUCUCAUGAUUUGCCCUUUCUUUAUCAGCUCUGAGACAGUGGCUUAGUUGAAACUGAGAAAUUACAAGGCUAGCUUUAAUUCUUAACCUUCUGGAUAGAGAUUUUCUUUGUAAAUACUGGCACACAGGAAAUAAUUUUCUUUAAAUAUGCUGGAAUGACACUUGCAGAGUUUUGAACAAAAGGAAAUUCUGAUCUGGCAGUGGCACAAAAUGGGUCCUGUUGCCUCCUUGGCUCUUGUUUCAAACUCUUACAGUCAUGUGCACUGACAUGAAUAAGGAACAUAAUUCACCCACAACCAUACAAACUUUUAGAGCAAAGAUGAGCCUGAGUCCAAAGUCCACCCUGCAGCUCCCGAAUCCCAGAGUUAGAGUUGUGUCAAACCUCAGUUCUAGUAUGAAGAGUAUUAACUACAGAACCAUAUUCACAGAAACACAGACAUACUGCCUUUCCCAAGUGAGAGAUUUAAACUUGCAUGGGCUUAAUUAUAUCCUUAUCCCCAUAACUAACAACUAAAUGAAACUCAGUGCUAUGCACUGUGUGGAAAAUGAACUCUUCAGUAUUACCUUAGCCUUGUUAACCAGGAUAUUUUUUGUGUGUCUGUCCAAUGUGGACAAACUGUACAUUCAGCAUAAUCAAUUAAUGUUGUUAAUUAUUCAUGAGUUAAUUUUUGCAGAGAAGGCCUGGAAUCUUUCCUGGAGCAGAUCUGGUGUUCUUUCACUUCUGCAUUUCAGUGAGCCCCUUUGGUCUGAAGCUUCCUCCUACCAGGUUGCUUCAUUUCUCUGCGUCAGAGGACACGCAUGUGAUACAUAAAGCACGAAAUGGAUAUCAAAGAGCAUUGUUAAUUGACAGAAGAGAUGUUAUUAUAGAAUUGUCAGUUACCUUUUGCUGCUGAUACCCAUCAACUCUAAUAGAAAUGUUAGAACACAGAACUGGAAAGGACCAUCUGGAACCAUCUGUAAGCCGUUCCUAGCACUGUGGGCUACUAUAAAUUAGACAUUUAAUCACAAACAGUGCAUAGAACAUCUUCUCCACAUGACACGGGCCAUAAAACAAUUCGCGUGUAACACAAUUAAGAAAGAUGAUGAUUAAUAAUGAACAUCCAGAACUGUAAUGUGCCAUAAAAAGAACACAGCAUCAAGCCCCAUCAACUUCUGAGAACCGGAGAAUAUAUAAUUUGGGGGUAGAAUGAUCUUAAGAGAUAAAGUGUGAGUUUUGCUGUAAGGAGGCAAAAAUAAAACCAAAACAGCUUCCGUUACUGUGACCCGGGAGAUUUCUUCAUUACCUCAAACCUUGCAAUCCACUUAGCUUGGACUAUGUGACCCAGAUUCGCCUCCCACUCACUUGCUGGAGUGGAGUUCAUGAUGGAAGUGUAUGUUCAUCUCAUUUUCAUUUUCCCCCACUGGUAGUACCACACUCUAAUCUGAGCAACAUACUCUGAUGUUCUAACACAGUAGUAAGUACUGCUGACUUACGUGCACUUGGUUAGCUAGCUCUAUUACAAUGUAUGCAGACCUCUAUGAAUACAUGUCUCCUGUAAAAUGGCAUGCCACUAUUAAAUUAAAUCUGAGACAAAAUGUUUACAAAUUACUCUGAAGCCACAUGAAACAUUCUAGGAAUUGUUCCUUGUGAAUACAUUUUGACAGACACUGUGCAUCUCCUGUGCAGGACAAUGCAGUGUUAUGAUAGUUGCUGAGAACAUUUUUACAGGAAAUGUAUCUUGAUUUUCAGUAUUACUGUGGUUUACUGAAUACCAAUUGGGUGAAGAACAGACAACAUUUUUCCCUUCUCCUCUAACUUUACAAAUAGCAAAUGCUAUGUAGUUUGAUCUUGUGAUACUUUCCAGGGAGAUAUCUUUCUGUGGGCAUAAAGUCUAUGAAGAUCUACAGCAUCUGAUCCCAUAGGUCAUUUGACUUCUGAUGAUAAGCAUCCACCCGGGGCAGUGGUAUGGUCAGUGGAGAAUGUGAAGACAGGGCAAGGAAAGGUGCCUUCAGUUUAGCAACUCCAGCCUACAUCCCCUUCUCACCAGCUAUAGAUGGCUUUCACCAUACAUCCACUGCUCUUCAGCCAUUAGGUAGGUUAGAAAAAUCUACAGAUGUCCACGCAGAAGUGCAACUCCUGGCUAAUUUUCAUGGUCUGAUUCUGUUCUAUAAAGAUUUAGGGGUGUCUUUGCAGUGCACUGGUCUGCUGCCAAUGGCCUUGUAAGGAAAACAAGCAUCAUUUGAGGUUAUAUUAAAUCUAUAGAUGAAAAAAUGCAUCAAAAAUACGGUCUGAAAGAUAGCCUUUCUUUCUAUUCAUUCCGAGUAAGUCUUCCUUGUAUGGUGUGACUGCUUAAUCUAAAAAGGAAAAAUAAUGGCUAAUGGACCUUUUUAUUAGAUGGCUUUAGGGUUUGAGGUGCUGUUAUCUUCUGGCACUAGGGCCAGGCUGAAUCUGAGGGGUUUCAGUUAGCCACAGUCAUAAAACAGAAUAUAAAACAACUGUGCAGAAGUGAAAAAAAAAAAAAAGAGCUUACCACAUCUUUUAGUUUCCCUUGAUCCUCAUGGGCUGAUGAAGAAAUAUGUGGCCUCUGUAAAUGGAAGGUAUUCCAUAAAUACAUUGAGUGGAGCCUACAGCAUCCCAGAGGAGCUAUUCAUCAACUUCAACAGGAAUAUGCAACGGGAGGCCUUCACUGAAUUAAAAACAACAGGAAAAAAAGAGCUAUCCACUUAUCUCAUCAUUUGGUUAUCUCUGAUUUCAAGGAGUGCACAGAAACGUUAAGCUCUCACUAGACUUUUUAUAAGAGCUCCUAAGCCCAGUGUCUUUUUUUCCCCUGAAGUACAGGAGAGAGCCAACAAUUUCUGCAUGUGCUGUCUUUCAUACAAAGUACAUUUUAAUUACAUCUGUACUAAAUGAGAUUUAAAUAAUUUAUUUUUACUGAUUUAGAAAGAGCUAUUAAAAUCCAAAUUGAACAAUUCAGUGGUGCUUAGUGGUGGUGCUUAGUAACUGUCAGAAGUGCACAGCACACUGCAGGGUUAAAUCCCCCAAGAACAAGCAAACAAUAUGCUCUGAAUACUGACAAGCUUUUAGAAGACAGUUUAGUAAUGGCCACAGCCAUGAUCUGGUGGAACUACUUGUGAGGCCAGAGAUAAUUCAGCCUCUGUGUGACUUCAUGCUUAAGACUUUUCUGAUCAGGAAUGGCCAAGUGGUGUAAAUUAUGAGUUAUCAGUCUUAGGUCUCAAGGUAUAAAUUACUGUCUGACAGGAAGCAAAAUCUAUAAAUUGAUUUUUUUUAGGGGUAAACUUUAUUUACAGUAGUAAAAAGGCAAGUACUCCAUUUGCUAAGCCACUAUUCUCAGAACACUUACAGCUUCCAUUGAGAAGGUCUGGCAGGACUUUACGUUGCACAGUGUGCUGGGCUCACAACCAAUAAGGCAUGUUGAUUGUAUAUGGAAGAACUUCUGUACUGUGUUGAUCGCAUGUUCCACGGAAAAUGGAUGCAUUUUAAAUUUCACUUUGAAUUGCACUUUUAUUUUUUUCCCCACUGCGGUGUAAAAAAAACCCAGAAAACUAAGAAACUGUUAAAAAUCCAUGCACUAAAAUUAGGCAUUAAGAACUCAUACUCAAAGUUUGUAAGAAUGUUUUGAGUCUUCUACAGCCUCAAAUGAAACGGACUCUUAUGCAUAUCACUGACUGCACAAUCUUUUUCACAUUGGUUGGGUUCUUUUAGCUCUGAAGUGAAGGAUGUCAAAUUCUAACCAUCACACCUUUGCUGUGCAGAAGGGCUUUGGGAAGAGGACCAUGCAGGAAGAACUAUGAUGGAAAGUUAAUUCAAUGGAAUACAACUGCUACGUUAGAACUGAUCAAAGCAGAAAGACUGAAGAUGAUCAUUUGUAGAAAUUGCCUUUGAGCUGGGAACCUUAAUGACUACAACUAGCUAGAAAUUUGGUCUUGCUUUUCAUCCAAAUACAUUACCUCGAUCUCAGUAUUAAUCCUUGCAGCAGCUGACACACAGGUACAUACUGUCUUGCAAGAGAAAGAAACUAUUUUUCUCUGUCCUCCUCCAUUCACAUUACAUUACCUUUCAUCUAAUGCUGAGCCAUCCACAUCACUUUAGCAGGAUACAAUGCAGAAUGGUGGGGCUGCCGGAAGCCAAACUGCUACACUCCUUAUACCUUGGCUUAUAUGAUUAAGUCUUUUAGAAUCAGAACACUGCAGUGUAUAACGAACUUGCAUUAUGUCAAGUGAAAGGGACAGCCAAGUGACAGAAGGUACUGGCAUAAUAUGACACUGCAUUAUAAUGUAGCUCCGGGGAAUAAAAUUCAGGAGAAAUUAUUUGGAUGAAAAAAAUUUGAUCAUAGGCAAGUUUGUGGGGUUUUUUUCUUGGU